GAUGAAGAACGCAGCGAAAUGCGAAAAGUAAUGUAAAUUGCAGAAUUCAGUGAAUCAUCGAAUCUUUGAACGCACAUUGCGCCCGCCAGUAUUCUGGCGGGCAUGCCUGUCUGAGCGUCAUUUCAACCCUCACGCCCCUAGGGCGUGGUGUUGGGGAUCGGCCAAGGCCCGCAAGGGACGGCCGGCCCCUAAAUCUAGUGGCGGACCCAUCGUGGCCUCCCCUGCGAAGUAGUAAUAUAUUCCGCAUCGGAUAGCGAUGAGCCCCUGCCGUUAAACCCCCAACUCUUUCAAGGUUGACCUCAGAUCAGGUAGGAAUACCCGCUGAACUUAAGCAUAUCAAUAAGCGGAGGA
RNAcentral lists this unclassified non-coding RNA (351 nucleotides) under soil metagenome. RNAcentral's name for it is "partial contains 5.8S ribosomal RNA, internal transcribed spacer 2, and large subunit ribosomal RNA". The stretch from base 1 to 120 matches the Rfam family "5.8S ribosomal RNA", at positions 35 to 154 of the family's 154-position model. The record is from RNAcentral.